AUGCAGCGGUCUGACAUCAGGAACCUAGGGUUUCCCUGGGAGUUCAACUUCUUGGGUGUUAGGGGUCCCAAUGACAGCAGCAGCUGUGGGUACAGAAAUAAAGUAAGAAGAUGCUUACAUUCAGAAGGCCUCAGGAGAAAACAGGACAGAAGACCUGAACUGAAGCCUUGGCACUGUUGCCAGUGGCAGCACAAUGCUGCCAGCUUCUUCUCUCUUUCCUAUUGCUAAUGGAGCAAAAGAGAAGCGAAAUGGGAUCCUCGUUCUUACUUUUUCCUCCAGAUUAAGGUAUGUAGUGAUAUGAUCCACAGUACAUGGCAAAGUUACUGCUGCAGUGCUGAGCACCAUUCAGAGGCCAGAAAAUUGGGUGGCUGGGUUUUUAUGCUCUCGGUAGUGUAAGUGUUGGAAUUGUUCCUGCCUGAGAGCUGCAGGAAAUCCUAUUGUACAUUCAGGGAUUGCACUCCUGUGAAUGGCACUGAGCUGGUGUGAUUCAGGUAUCAUAGCAACCUCUAUGAAUCACUAUCUUUGUUUAUCUGUGACUUGAUUUUAUAAAAAAACAGCUGGCUUUGGGCCCGGCCUUCCACUUUGCACUGAAGUGAACAGAAGGGCUGCAGGAGUGGUCCCACCAGCUUCAGCAUGAGUCACAGUGGGAGAAUCAGCUCCUUUUGUACUGACUUCUCUGCAGCAGGAACUGUUUCAUGCCAUAUGUCUGCAUAGGGAUUACCACUCACUGAGUUUGUGACAAUUAUUAAUUUUUAAUAAUUAAAAGGCUAAUUUUUGCAAUUACAUGGGGACUAAGGAAAUAUCACUUGAAAAAAUCCUUCCCAAAUAUGUUACUCUAAAAUAAAUGAAUAACUAAAGGAAGUGAUUUGUGGAGU
RNAcentral lists this long non-coding RNA (875 nucleotides) under Phasianus colchicus (ring-necked pheasant). RNAcentral describes it as "lncRNA (ENSPCLG00000010399.1)". Lineage: Eukaryota; Metazoa; Chordata; Aves; Galliformes; Phasianidae. The record is from RNAcentral.